AGCCAGACUCCUACGGGAGGCAGCAGUGGGGAAUAUUGCACAAUGGGGGAAACCCUGAUGCAGCAACGCCGCGUGAGUGAAGAAGUAUUUCGGUAUGUAAAGCUCUCUCAGCAGGGAAGAAAAUGACGGUACCUGAGUAAGAAGCCCCGGCUAACUACGUGCCAGCAGCCGCGGUAAUACGUAGGGGGCAAGCGUUAUCCGGAUUUACUGGGUGUAAAGGGAGCGUAGACGGCGAUGCAAGUCUGAAGUGAAAGCCCGGGGCUCAACCCCGGGACUGCUUUGGAAACUGUAUGGCUGGAGUGCUGGAGAGGCAAGCGGAAUUCCUAGUGUAGCGGUGAAAUGCGUAGAUAUUAGGAGGAACACCAGUGGCGAAGGCGGCUUACCGGACGGUAACUGACGUUGAGGCUCGAAAGCGUGGGGAGCAAACAGGAUUAGAUACCCCAGUA
Molecule: ribosomal RNA, 446 nt
Filed under: uncultured bacterium
Lineage: Bacteria
Description: bacterial SSU rRNA
Rfam family: Bacterial small subunit ribosomal RNA
Source: RNAcentral